This 279-nucleotide long non-coding RNA is filed under the name Sarcophilus harrisii (Tasmanian devil). RNAcentral describes it as "lncRNA (ENSSHAG00000023770.1)". Lineage: Eukaryota; Metazoa; Chordata; Mammalia; Dasyuromorphia; Dasyuridae. The record is from RNAcentral.
AUCCAUACAAAACCAAAGCUGGAAGCCCAGGAAAUUAAUUAAGCAAAGGAAAAAACUUGCAAGCAAAAGGAAGCAAGACUUAUUUGAGAACACAACAUGGCUCCACAUGGAAAUCAGCACACUAAGAGAAAUAUACAGACAAAACUGCAUCAGAGGCACUUCUAGAGAUCUCCUUCAAUUUUCUUUCAGAUAAUGAGGAGGCAUUGAUUCAAACAGAAAGACCUGAUCUGUCCUUUGAAGCUAACCCUAAUUAAUAGAUGUGACCCUUUCAACAACAAC